Alosa sapidissima (American shad) is the source of this 609-nucleotide long non-coding RNA. RefSeq lists it as uncharacterized. Lineage: Eukaryota; Metazoa; Chordata; Actinopteri; Clupeiformes; Clupeidae. The transcript is spliced from 3 exons. The record is from RefSeq and is a predicted model, not a curated record.
UUUUUAUGUGCAGACUUGUGCACAUGCUUAUAAAGAUAAUGUGUUGAAAAGAGUCUAUUAUCUCUAGUUUCUGACUGUAUUCAGACACUCUGGCCUUUUGUUUGGCACUUGAAGUAAAGUAAGAUAUAACAGGAAGUCAACAUGAACUGCUGUCUGCCAUGUUGUGGUGUGGUGAAGGGCACGUGUGUUUUUUGUGCAGGGGUGUUUGUGCAGAGUCUUUUUUUUCCUAUCUCGCUUUUUGUAGAUUCUUGGAAGUCAUUUUAGUACAAGACUCAGAAUCACGCCUGUUUGUUUAAGUAUCUGAAAGUCACACUUGAGUAAAAACACACCAGAAAAAGACUUUAGAAGGUACUGUACAAGAUGUGCAAGCUACCCAUGCCAUAGGCAUUAAUGCAUCCCCAUACCACCAUGUUGGAUGGCCCCUCUCCUCUUCACCUCCAAGGAUGCAGGGUCCUUGACGUCCAAAAAGAAUGAGACAUUUUGAUUGGUCUACCCAUGGAACUAGAACAGUUUUCCACUUCGCCUGGGUUCAUCUUAAUUCGCCUUAUUCACCCGGCGGCCAUUACGAGGCUGAGGGGUACACUUGCCAUUACACCUCAGUCCAGCAGA